Long non-coding RNA from Bufo bufo (common toad), 152 nucleotides. RefSeq lists it as uncharacterized. The record is from RefSeq and is a predicted model, not a curated record. Lineage: Eukaryota; Metazoa; Chordata; Amphibia; Anura; Bufonidae. The transcript is spliced from 3 exons.
CCUGGCUGAGACUGCCAGAGCAGAGGAACGGGCAACGAGGGCACCCGCAUCAAGGGAGGCCUCACAAAUGAAUUUCCCUGCCUGAACAACGAGCUGGGCUAAAGAACGGAGAUCCUGAAUGGAGACGUCCGAAUCAAACUCCCGUUUCAGUU